CCUACGGGAGGCAGCAGUGAGGAAUAUUGGUCAAUGGACGAGAGUCUGAACCAGCCAAGUCGCGUGAAGGAUGACUGCCCUAUGGGUUGUAAACUUCUUUUAUAUGGGAAUAAAAUGUUCCACGUGUGGGAUUUUGUAUGUACCAUAUGAAUAAGGAUCGGCUAACUCCGUGCCAGCAGCCGCGGUAAUACGGGGGAUCCGAGCGUUAUCCGGAUUUAUUGGGUUUAAAGGGAGCGUAGGUGGAUUGUUAAGUCAGGUGUGAAAGUGUGCGGCUCAACCGUAAAAUUGCAGUUGAAACUGGCAGGCUUGAGUACAGUAGAGGUGGGCGGAAUUCGUGGUGUAGCGGUGAAAUGCUUAGAGAUCACGAAGAACUCCGAUGGCGAAGGCAGCUCACUGGACUGCAACUGACACUGAGGCUCGAAAGUGUGGGUAUCAAACAGGAUUAGAUACCCCGGUAGUC
RNAcentral lists this ribosomal RNA (460 nucleotides) under uncultured bacterium. RNAcentral's name for it is "partial 16S ribosomal RNA". It matches the Rfam family "Bacterial small subunit ribosomal RNA", at positions 338 to 795 of the family's 1533-position model. The record is from RNAcentral.